Molecule: ribosomal RNA, 500 nt
Filed under: uncultured bacterium
Lineage: Bacteria
Description: partial 16S ribosomal RNA
Rfam family: Bacterial small subunit ribosomal RNA
Source: RNAcentral
AUUGAACGCUGGCGGCAUGCCUUACACAUGCAAGUCGAACGGCAGCACGGGAGCAAUCCUGGUGGCGAGUGGCGAACGGGUGAGUAAUGUAUCGGAACGUGCCCAGUCGUGGGGGAUAACGUAGCGAAAGCUACGCUAAUACCGCAUACGAUCUAUGGGUGAAAGCGGGGGAUCGCAAGACCUCGCGCGGUUGGAGCGGCCGAUAACAGAUUAGGUAGUUGGUGGGGUAAAGGCCCACCAAGCCUGAGAUCUGUAGCUGGUCUGAGAGGACGACCAGCGACACUGGAACUGAGACACGGUCCAGACUCCUACGGGAGGCAGCAGUGGGGAAUUUUGGACAAUGGGCGCAAGCCUGAUCCAGCAAUGCCGCGUGCAGGAUGAAGGCCUUCGGGUUGUAAACUGCUUUUGUACGGAACGAAACGGCUUUUUCUAAUACAGAGAGCUAAUGACGGUACCGUAAGAAUAAGCACCGGCUAACUACGUGCCAGCAGCCGCCGUAA